This 253-nucleotide ribosomal RNA is filed under the name uncultured bacterium. RNAcentral's name for it is "partial 16S ribosomal RNA". It matches the Rfam family "Bacterial small subunit ribosomal RNA", at positions 524 to 776 of the family's 1533-position model. The record is from RNAcentral.
AACGUAGGUGGCGAGCGUUAAUCGGAAUUACUGGGCGUAAAGCGUGCGCAGGCGGUUAUGUAAGACAGGGGUGAAAUCCCCGGGCUUAACCUGGGAACUGCAUUUGUGACUGCAUAGCUAGAGUACGGCAGAGGGGGAUGGAAUUCCGCGUGUAGCAGUGAAAUGCGUAGAUAUGCGGAGGAACACCGAUGGCGAAGGCAAUCCCCUGGGCCUGUACUGACGCUCAUGCACGAAAGCGUGGGGAGCAAACAGG